GUCGUAGCAAAUUCUGCGACCGGGUUUAGCAGCCUGAAAACGAAUGCGGACAACCGCAGAUUUCCGAUAUUGCGGUAUUUUU
RNAcentral lists this small RNA (82 nucleotides) under Escherichia coli O111:NM str. 08-4487. RNAcentral describes it as "isrK". The record is from RNAcentral. Lineage: Bacteria; Pseudomonadati; Pseudomonadota; Gammaproteobacteria; Enterobacterales; Enterobacteriaceae.